GGGCGUGUGGCUCAGUUGGUAGAGCGUUCGCUUAGCAUGUUCAAUCUUUGUCUUUGGAUGUGCGAAAGGUCCUGGGUUCGAUUCCCAGCUCGUCCA
Molecule: non-coding RNA, 96 nt
Organism: Cladorrhinum sp. PSN332
Lineage: Eukaryota; Fungi; Ascomycota; Sordariomycetes; Sordariales; Podosporaceae
Source: the annotation of a GenBank genome assembly